ACCCGCAGAGUUGAUUUCAUCUCGUAUUAAUCUUUCGCCUUUUACUAAAGAUUACCGUGGAAUCGACUCAACACAUGCGGCUUCACCCAAUUUCUGAACCCCCCUUGCGGGGUA
RNAcentral lists this small nuclear RNA (114 nucleotides) under Pythium aphanidermatum DAOM BR444. RNAcentral's name for it is "snRNA EPrPAph00000013123". It matches the Rfam family "U5 spliceosomal RNA". From Rfam's summary of the family: U5 RNA is a component of both types of known spliceosome. The precise function of this molecule is unknown, though it is known that the 5' loop is required for splice site selection and p220 binding, and that both the 3' stem-loop and the Sm site are important for Sm protein binding and cap methylation. Lineage: Eukaryota; Oomycota; Peronosporomycetes; Pythiales; Pythiaceae. The record is from RNAcentral.